This 747-nucleotide ribosomal RNA is filed under the name Mycolicibacterium poriferae. Its description in RNAcentral is "bacterial SSU rRNA". It matches the Rfam family "Bacterial small subunit ribosomal RNA", at positions 66 to 829 of the family's 1533-position model. Lineage: Bacteria; Bacillati; Actinomycetota; Actinomycetes; Mycobacteriales; Mycobacteriaceae. The record is from RNAcentral.
ACGGAAGGCCCCUUCGGGGGUACUCGAGUGGCGAACGGGUGAGUAACACGUGGGUGAUCUGCCCUGCACUUUGGGAUAAGCCUGGGAAACUGGGUCUAAUACCGAAUAGGACUCCGGACUGCAUGGUCUGGGGUGGAAAGCUUUUGCGGUGUGGGAUGGGCCCGCGGCCUAUCAACUUGUUGGUGGGGUGAUGGCCUACCAAGGCGACGACGGGUAGCCGGCCUGAGAGGGUGUCCGGCCACACUGGGACUGAGAUACGGCCCAGACUCCUACGGGAGGCAGCAGUGGGGAAUAUUGCACAAUGGGCGCAAGCCUGAUGCAGCGACGCCGCGUGAGGGAUGACGGCCUUCGGGUUGUAAACCUCUUUCGCCAGGGACGAAGCGCAAGUGACGGUACCUGGAGAAGAAGCACCGGCCAACUACGUGCCAGCAGCCGCGGUAAUACGUAGGGUGCGAGCGUUGUCCGGAAUUACUGGGCGUAAAGAGCUCGUAGGUGGUUUGUCGCGUUGUUCGUGAAAACUCACAGCUUAACUGUGGGCGUGCGGGCGAUACGGGCAGACUGGAGUACUGCAGGGGAGACUGGAAUUCCUGGUGUAGCGGUGGAAUGCGCAGAUAUCAGGAGGAACACCGGUGGCGAAGGCGGGUCUCUGGGCAGUAACUGACGCUGAGGAGCGAAAGCGUGGGGAGCGAACAGGAUUAGAUACCCUGGUAGUCCACGCCGUAAACGGUGGGUACUACGUGUGGGUUU